This 229-nucleotide ribosomal RNA is filed under the name uncultured bacterium. RNAcentral describes it as "partial 16S ribosomal RNA". It matches the Rfam family "Bacterial small subunit ribosomal RNA", at positions 568 to 796 of the family's 1533-position model. The record is from RNAcentral.
UGCGUAGGCGGAAGAUUAAGUCAGUGAUGAAAUCCUGCAGCUCAACUGUAGAACUGUCAUUGAUACUGAUUUUCUUGAAUACAGUUGAGGUAGGCGGAAUAUGUAAUGUAGCGGUGAAAUGCUUAGAUAUUACAUAGAACACCGAUUGCGAAGGCAGCUUACUAAACUGUGAUUGACGCUGAGGCACGAAAGCGUGGGGAGCGAACAGGAUUAGAUACCCUGGUAGUCC